RNAcentral lists this ribosomal RNA (468 nucleotides) under uncultured bacterium. RNAcentral describes it as "partial 16S ribosomal RNA". It matches the Rfam family "Bacterial small subunit ribosomal RNA", at positions 28 to 507 of the family's 1533-position model. The record is from RNAcentral.
GACGAACGCUGGCGGCGGGCUUAACACAUGCAAGUCGAACGGAAAGGCCCGGCUUUUGUGGGGUGGUCGGGUGGCGAACGGGUGAGUAACCCGUGAGUAACCUGCCCCUGACUUUGGGAUAACUUCAGGAAACUGGGGCUCAUACCGGGUAGGAGCUCCUGCUACUUGGUGGGGGUGGGACAGUUUCGGCGGUUGGGGAUGGACUCGCGGCCUAUCAGCUUGUUGGUGGGGUAGUGGAAUACCAAGGCCUGGACGGGUAGCCGGCCUGAGCGGGUAACCGGCCCAAUCAGGACUGAGCUGAGGCACGGCCUCCAACGGGAGGCAGCACAGGAGUGUAGUAUCUAGCGGGCGGAACCCUGAUGCGGCAACGCCGCGUGGGGUAUAACGGGCAUGGCUUAGUAUUCCACUUUUGUCUGUGACGAGGCGUUAAUGACGGUACUCGGUAAAGAAGCCCCGGCUAACUUCGUG